AGGAUUGGCUGUCACAGUUGUGGUUGAGAAAGAGAAGAUGCGGGCUAUGAUUUGAUUGAGUCCUUCAUACUAUUCAUACGCCAAUGCUAUUUGAAGGUAAUGCCCUCCACCAGAUUCCAGCACAAAGGCCUGCCUACACACUGAACAGAUGCUUGCAGUCUCUAGAACCAUAAACCAAAUAAACUUGUAUUCUUUACACAUUA
Long non-coding RNA from Mesocricetus auratus (golden hamster), 203 nucleotides. RefSeq lists it as uncharacterized. The transcript has 2 exons. NCBI's taxonomy places the organism in Eukaryota, Metazoa, Chordata, Mammalia, Rodentia, Cricetidae. The record is from RefSeq and is a predicted model, not a curated record.